AAUCAACGCUGGCGGCGUGCCUCAGACAUGCAAGUCGAACGAUUAAAGCUCCCUUCGGGGAGUGCAUAAAGUGGCGCACGGGUGAGUAACACGUAAGUAAUCUACCUUCGAGUGGGGAAUAACAUCGGGAAACCGAUGCUAAUACCGCAUAAUGCAGUUCGGCACCUAAUGGUGACAGUUGUUAAAGGAGCAAUCCGCUUGAAGAGGAGCUUGCGGCAGAUUAGCUAGUUGGUAAGGUAAUGGCUUACCAAGGCUUCGAUCUGUAACCGGUCUAAGGGGACGGUCGGUCACACUGACACUGAAUAACGGGUCAGACUCCUACGGGAGGCAGCAGUCGGGAAUUUUGGGCAAUGGGCGAAAGCCUGACCCAGCAACGCCGCGUGAAGGAUGAAGUAUUUCGGUAUGUAAACUUCGAAAGAAUGGGAAGAAUCAAUGACGGUACCAUUUAUAAGGUCCGGCUAACUACGUGCCAGCAGCCGCGGUAAUACGUAGGGACCAAGCGUUGUUCGGAUUUACUC
This 518-nucleotide ribosomal RNA is filed under the name uncultured bacterium. Its description in RNAcentral is "bacterial SSU rRNA". It matches the Rfam family "Bacterial small subunit ribosomal RNA", at positions 28 to 556 of the family's 1533-position model. The record is from RNAcentral.